This is a long non-coding RNA of Rhagoletis zephyria (snowberry fruit fly), 223 nucleotides long. RefSeq lists it as uncharacterized. The record is from RefSeq and is a predicted model, not a curated record. Lineage: Eukaryota; Metazoa; Arthropoda; Insecta; Diptera; Tephritidae.
ACGACGGGUGAAGGCGGAGUACCCGCUUUUGUGGGCUUCAAUGCCGGCAAUGGCACACGAUCCUACGAAUAUACGCCAUACAGCCAACAGAUGGUGAUACGUGACUUAACGGGACGUGGUUGGGGCAAUGGUUUCCCAGGACGCCAUCUUUUCCGCAUAGAUGAACAAAUUUUAAUUGGCUCUUGUAAUAAGGAUAUCGAUGCUUCACAUUUGCCGCUGACAU